CCUACGGGAGGCAGCAGUGAGGAAUAUUGGUCAAUGGACGAGAGUCUGAACCAGCCAAGUAGCGUGAAGGAUGACUGCCCUAUGGAUUGUAAACUUCUUUUAUCAAGGAAUAAAACGAGGCACGUGUGCCUUUUUGCAUGUACUUUAUGAAUAAGGAUCGGCUAACUCCGUGCCAGCAGCCGCGGUAAUACGGAGGAUCCGAGCGUUGUCCGGAUUUAUUGGGGUUAAAGGGAGCGUAGAUGGGUUGGUAAGUCAGGUGUGAAAGUUUGCGGCUCAACCCUAAGAUUGCAUUUGAUACUGGCAGUCUUGAGUACAGGUGAGGUAGGCGGAAUUCGCGGUGUAGCGGUGAAAUGCUUAGAUAUUACGAAGAACCCCGAUUGCGAAGGCAGCUUACUAAACUGUGACUGACACUGAGGCUCGAAAGUGUGGGUAUCAAACAGGAUUAGAUACCCGUGUAGUC
Molecule: ribosomal RNA, 460 nt
Filed under: uncultured bacterium
Lineage: Bacteria
Description: partial 16S ribosomal RNA
Rfam family: Bacterial small subunit ribosomal RNA
Source: RNAcentral